CUUCUCUGAUGUUAGCGGCGGACGGGUGAGUAACACGUGGGUAACCUACCUAUAAGACUGGGAUAACUCCGGGAAACCGGGGCUAAUACCGGAUAAUAUUUUGAACCGCAUGGUUCAAUAGUGAAAGACGGUUUCGGCUGUCACUUAUAGAUGGACCCGCGCCGUAUUAGCUAGUUGGUAAGGUAACGGCUUACCAAGGCGACGAUACGUAGCCGACCUGAGAGGGUGAUCGGCCACACUGGAACUGAGACACGGUCCAGACUCCUACGGGAGGCAGCAGGG
This 282-nucleotide ribosomal RNA is filed under the name uncultured Staphylococcus sp. Its description in RNAcentral is "partial 16S ribosomal RNA". It matches the Rfam family "Bacterial small subunit ribosomal RNA", at positions 81 to 354 of the family's 1533-position model. The record is from RNAcentral. Lineage: Bacteria; Bacillati; Bacillota; Bacilli; Caryophanales; Staphylococcaceae.